GAUGAACGCUGGCGGCGUGCCUAAUACAUGCAAGUCGAACGCUGAAGGGGGAGCUUGCUCUUCUGGAUGAGUUGCGAACGGGUGAGUAACGCGUAGGUAACCUGCCUGGUAGCGGGGGAUAACUAUUGGAAACGAUAGCUAAUACCGCAUGACAACAGUUAUUGCAUGAUAACUGUUUAAAAGGGGCAACUGCUCCACUACCAGAUGGACCUGCGUUGUAUUAGCUAGUUGGUGAGGUAACGGCUCACCAAGGCGACGAUACAUAGCCGACCUGAGAGGGUGAUCGGCCACACUGGGACUGAGACACGGCCCAGACUCCUACGGGAGGCAGCAGUAGGGAAUCUUCGGCAAUGGACGGAAGUCUGACCGAGCAACGCCGCGUGAGGGAAGAAGGGUUUCGGAUCGUAAAGCUCUGUUGUAAGAGAAGAACGAGUGUGAGAGUGGAAAGUUCACACUGUGACGGUAGCUUACCAGAAAGGGACGGCUAACUACGUG
RNAcentral lists this ribosomal RNA (495 nucleotides) under uncultured bacterium. RNAcentral's name for it is "partial 16S ribosomal RNA". It matches the Rfam family "Bacterial small subunit ribosomal RNA", at positions 28 to 507 of the family's 1533-position model. The record is from RNAcentral.